RNAcentral lists this long non-coding RNA (336 nucleotides) under Elaeis guineensis (African oil palm). Its description in RNAcentral is "long non-coding RNA (EGUI_LNC032216)". The record is from RNAcentral. Lineage: Eukaryota; Viridiplantae; Streptophyta; Magnoliopsida; Arecales; Arecaceae.
GCAGCUCAGGCAUAAAAGGUUUUCCAGCCUAUCAGCAACGUGAUGUCGUAUGUGAUGAUCCUUUCCAGCCAUGUUAAUAGAUGUUCUUAUUGUUUACUUCCACACGAUAGCUUAGUUCUUUCGUACAAAAUAUGAGUGGCGCGCAGCAGAAAAUUAGUAAUGUGUGCUCAUAAAAACCAGAAUGAGAAAGGUCACUGCUAUAUCUUAACUGGGCUAUACAUUAUUAGGUUAAUCAUGGAAAACGAGACAACACUUUUGGUGCCGUUUGGUAAACUUUUAUUUUUCUUAUUUCAGAUAUAAAACUAAAAAUUUUAUUUCUCUUAUUUUUAAAUUUUU